UCAGAGAGACUGGAUUUGAACCAGUGACCUUCGACUCCCUAUGCCGACGCGCUACCAACUGCGCUACACUCUG
Molecule: transfer RNA, 73 nt
Filed under: Pectinodesmus pectinatus
Lineage: Eukaryota; Viridiplantae; Chlorophyta; Chlorophyceae; Sphaeropleales; Scenedesmaceae
Description: tRNA-Pro
Source: RNAcentral